Non-coding RNA from Ophiobolus disseminans, 95 nucleotides. The record is from the annotation of a GenBank genome assembly. Lineage: Eukaryota; Fungi; Ascomycota; Dothideomycetes; Pleosporales; Phaeosphaeriaceae.
UCCGUGCUGGUCUAGUGGCUAGGAUUUGUCGCUCUCAGUAGAGUAUACCACUGUAAAGUGCCGACAAGGCCGGGGUUCGAUUCCCCGGCACGGAA